UAUUUGGGUUUUAAUUUUGUUGGGUUCGUCUUAUCUUCGUUGAGUCCAUACCAAAAGAUAUUUCGCUUAAAUGAAACGCCCAAUUUUCUAUUUGGAUUAGACGUGUGUUCAUCUUUGCAUCUCCAAAGCUUAUGGCGAUUAAGGUUUCGGAAUGAUCUUUCGUCUUCUUCUUCAUGAUAUGAAAUGAUACCAGUUACAGAAUAAUCAACUUACAACGAUUCAAUAAUCCCCCCCACGAUCUCUAAUCAAUGUGAUUCCUAAUUUUCUAAGGCAGUGGAUUCGACUAUAAAAAGGUGAUUUCUUUUUUGCAGCUUUUGUUUUUCCGAUCGACAGCAACAAACUUUCAGCUUGGGUUUUGUGGUUUCAGUGUCAGAAGAAAGAACAAGCACUCUUCGACGGUGUGUUUUCAGAUUAUGAUUAUGAUGGCUCUAUGAUCAAUCGCUAACACUACUCAAGAAUGAACGAACUGAAUAAGCUUUUCUAUUUUGAGAAUCAUCCUCUCAUUCAUUCCUUUUAAAUUAACCAGUAAACUAAUCUGUGAGUUAUGGCAAACGAUUUGGUCUUUCUGGGAGGCCAGGAAUGUUCACCGUGGUGGAGAGCUCAUGGGAAUUGAUAUGCUCCUGCUGGAUGCUCAGAUAUCUUAUUUAACUCCGACUUUUGCUCAUACAGAAUUAUGAAAAGUUUUAGCAAUUGAGUUUGAUUAAUCCGGCGACCAUCUUUCCCUCGACGCAUACGCAAAACUUACAAAUUAAUGCCUGGUGUGGGAGACCUUGAUAAGAACGACAUACACAAAUUCCUUAAAGACGUUGUCGGCCGAACAUGCACUCAAGAAGACACGCAAGGCUAGCUACUCAAUUUGUCAAAAUUAUGACCUUUUUAUAUUCUUUGUCCUUGCUUCAUCUAUCAUGUUUCCCAACUUUUAAGCAAUUAAAUAGUUCUUCCACUAACUA
Long non-coding RNA from Raphanus sativus (radish), 950 nucleotides. RefSeq lists it as uncharacterized. The record is from RefSeq and is a predicted model, not a curated record. Lineage: Eukaryota; Viridiplantae; Streptophyta; Magnoliopsida; Brassicales; Brassicaceae. The transcript has 4 exons.